AACGAACGCUGGCGGCAUGCCUAACACAUGCAAGUCGAACGAGACCUUCGGGUCUAGUGGCGCACGGGUGCGUAACGCGUGGGAACCUGCCCUUAGGUUCGGAAUAACUCCCCGAAAGGGGUGCUAAUACCGGAUAAUGUCUUCGGACCAAAGAUUUAUCGCCUUUGGAUGGGCCCGCGUUGGAUUAGCUAGUUGGUAGGGUAAAAGCCUACCAAGGCGACGAUCCAUAGCUGGGCUGAGAGGAUGAUCAGCCACACUGGGACUGAGACACGGCCCAGACUCCUACGGGAGGCAGCAGUGGGGAAGAUUGGACAAUGGGCGAAAGCCUGAUCAAGCACUGGCGAGUGAGUGAUGAAGGCCUUAGGGUUGUAAAGCUCUUUUACCCGGGAUGAUAAUGACAUUACCGGGAGAAUAAGCCCCGGCUAACUCCGUG
This 433-nucleotide ribosomal RNA is filed under the name uncultured bacterium. RNAcentral describes it as "partial 16S ribosomal RNA". It matches the Rfam family "Bacterial small subunit ribosomal RNA", at positions 29 to 507 of the family's 1533-position model. The record is from RNAcentral.